AAAUUAUACACGACAAAAGUGUAAAAAGUCAAGAUCGAGAGGUCAUAGAAUGUAACGGCGGAUGGAAGUUUUAUCAGCCUCUGUUUAAAAAGUCAAAGUGACAACAAAUACUGUUACGGUUAGUGUAGUGUUACAAGUGUUAGUUUAUUAGUGUAUAUUAUCCUGAAAGAAUCAAUACAGUGUAAAAAGGGUGACAUUAUUACAAUGCUCUCGUAGAGUUAUGGAGUCGGAUAGAAAGCUGACGUUGCCCCCUGCCGUCUGUGGGAACAUAAACGGUACGCUAAAAAUAAGGGUCGACGAAAUUUAUUGGGCGGAUCGUCGUCCGAAAGACAGCUAUUUCGUCAGGUUGAAGUGGUGGGGCAGCCAGAACCAUCACAUUUUCUACCCGGAAGACGUGUCGAAAAAUUUCAGGACAGACAACUACCAAGAAGGAGUGAACGACGUCGUGUUCAACGUGUGCACAUCGGCCGGCCUGUUCGAGGCAUAUUUGAAGAAAUGCCACCGGUUGAAAUUCCACCUCUUGACGGACAAGGGCCUCCUCCUGGGGACGGCCGUCGUCGGCGACAUGGACCGCAUUCUCGCCCUGGAGCCGUAUCCGUCUUACUACCCGGUUGUGGACAAGACGGGUAAGCGGAUCGCAGACCUGCACAUCUAUUUCGAGCUGUCCUUCCUGGACGAGAGGGAGCCGGAUUCCGAGGACGAACUGGAGUGCGUUUCGGAUGAGAAUCUGAAGCAAAACUUCAAGCUCCGGAAAGAGACGGUCAGAAGGCUCAAACAGGGCGAUGAGAUCAUCAAUUCAGUUGUUGUAAAAGGGCAGGAGUUGAGGAAGGCGAUGGUCAAUUCUGUCCUCGCUCCUUGUGACAUGGAAACAGUUGAACAAGUCAUCGACUUCAAAAAUGCCCUUACUCUCUGUGACGUUUCAAGGACGAAAAGUGAAGAUGCUAAACUUAUGGAUUAUCUAAUGGGUAAAGAAAUGACAAAGGAGGAAGAAGAAGAGGCCAUUAAACUGUUACAUUGCAAAUCCCCUGUAUUUGGUAGAUCUUUACAAGAAAGAUCCUCUACAGUAUAUACCAGAGAUUUUAAAACUUGUGAUGUUGAAGAUGAUGAAGUAUUGGCCUGUGGUGCUUAUUCAAAGAUUAAACAUAAAAACCCAUUAUCCGCAUCUGUCAUUGCACUGAUCAAAACAAAUGCUCUUAUAAGUAUUAACUCUUACAGAGUGGGCUUAUCAAAUCUAAUUUUGACAUCUAAUGGAUUAAGAAAAAUUUUCAAUACGCCAGAUUACAUUGCUACCCAUCUGACUGGCAAGGUACCAUCAGAAACUCAGUUUAUAUUUGAAUACCAUCCUGUUAUGAAUUUGGGUAAAUCAUGGCACCGUCCAUAUGUAUUGAUCUCUAAGUCUUUUGAGGGCAAUGUUGUUAAGUUCAAUGAGUAUGCAAUUUCAAAGCUUAAACCUGGACCAAACCCUUGGGAAAGAAUUGAAUCAUUAAUUGCAGGAUCCCAGAUUAAAGUAUAUUGGAAACAUUCUAACCAAAAAAUGCCUUCUUUGCUUGGAACCACAUCAUAUCCCAGCGCUUUGCAUGCAGAAAAUUUCAGCAAAAAGAUUGUAAUCCCUUUGUACACUCGCUACAAGUUACAUGUUGGGAACUUACAAUUGAGAAUCGAGCUUGGAUUAGGAAUGAUCUACGGGGAUGCUAUUGACAAAUACCGAAAAGACAUUUAUUCUAAAGCACACAAAGGUUUCAACACAAAGGAAACUUAUAAAGAUUUAUGUUCUAAUAAGACUGAUCUACAAGGCGAUGCUGAAGAAGUGCUUGAAGAGGCAAAAAUUACAUUUUGUCCCAUGUCUGAAGAUGAAGAAGAAAAGAACAAACAGUUAAUGGUUCUUUCAAAACAGGCAGUCAGUUACAUGGAAAAGACGGAGCAAAAGAAUACCAAAGUUCCUUUAAGGGAUGCAAUAGCUAGCCUUGCUGGGAAACUCCAAGAAAAUCUUAUGGCAAAAAAAUUUUUUCAAACAAACGACAAUUUGAGUCAGCCUGAUAAACAUGAAGAUUUUUGUCAAGAUCCUUCAGUUACUAAAAACAUGGAUGAAAAUGAUAGGAAUAUGGCAGAUGAUUUAUCAAGAAUGACAAAUAAAACAGAAAGCAGUGAUAAUGAUAACAGCAAUGAACUCUUAGAAUCACUUUCAAAUAUUAAUCCUGGUUGUUGUGAAUAUUGUUGCUGCACACAGAAAUACUGCCAAGCAAACAACAAGGGUGGUAAGUCAAUUCAGAUUAAAAAGCAGUGGGAAACAAGGUCAAAAACAUGCAGUUGUGGUAACAGACAGGCAUUGCUCAAGGAGAGCGACUGUAAACAGAACUUGUGCAAUGAACCAGUUUUAAAAAGAAAACCAAGAGUACAAGCAACAAAAUGUAGACAAGAGGUUGAAGGAAUUUCAAAACUACCAGAAUGUGGGUUUACUAAGUGCAAGAGUAGCCAAAGUUUCUCUAGACAAAACGACUCCCAGAUGAUGGUUGAAACAGCAGAAUCAUUACCUGCAUUCGGCACAAGUACAUCCAGAGAAAAGCCUAUAAUAACAUCACACAUGUACAAAAUUGAUGUAUACUCAUGUGAUGCACACUUUUUCUAUCAGAAAGGAGAACUUGAGUUUUAUCUCACCUAUGAUUUUCCAGUUAUAAAUAAAAAAACAGGGAAAGUUAAAUUUCCUCAAAAACCGACUUGCAUUGAACUCGAUGGCGAGCCUUAUCCACAAGAGCACUGCCUUUUUACCAUAACGUCACUUACUGAUCAAUUGAUUUCCUUGCCCCGGGACCACAUUACAUUUCAAAUUUGGGCUCGUUGUUUUAAGAAACAGCAAGAGCAUUUAGUAGCUCAGGCUAGAUUUCCUCUUAAAAAAUUAGUUGAAUGGGAAGCUUCAUACAUUUUUGCCCACAGCAAUUCUUUUAACCCAAAGUUAAAAGAGACAUCAGAUAAAUACUUUACCCCUCUUCGACUUUUUCAAGAGCCUUCCAAUUUAUCUAUUGGUUUUGACAUCUGGAACCUAAAAAAUUUAACAUUGGAAUUUGAUUACGAAAGGUUUUGUGGGAGUUGGCCUGAACUGCUCUCUUUGAAGGGAUUCGACCAAGAGUUAUAUAAUGAAAAUUCAAAUCCAGGGAGAUUUUUCUUCAAUUCAGAGAUUUCAGAGCUACAAUUAGGCGAAAGAGAUGAAUCAAAUUUAAAGCUGCCAGCUGGCAAGCAAGAUAUUGGAAAUGACACUGAAAAUCAAUUGCGAUUUGUUGAAAAAGAAAGAGCAUACAUAAGCCCUCAAUUGACAGAAGAAAAAUAUAGGAAAAAUGACUGGAGGAAUGAAUUUCGAGAACCUGUCAUUACAAGUGAUCCAGUUACUGGUGGACCCAAAAGUGAAAGAUUUUUAUUUGAAAAAGAUCAAAAGCAAUUACAGGAUGAUUACUGUUCACAAAAACCACUUCCACAUCAUUCUUUGUCUAAAGAUGAAGAUCAUUGGGCAUCUAAAUCUUUAGAAGAAAAACAUUUUUUUGAAGAAGAAACCAAUAAAAUUUCUGAUUUUAAACCUGCAUCAAUACCACCUAGUUUUCUUGGGGAUUCUACCCUCAGUUCGUUGCCUCCAGAUGUUGUAUUUGUAGAUAUUAUGUCAGAGAAGUUAUCAGAGGGAAACAAUCCUUUUGAAUCUCCUAAAAAACUUAAAGACAAAAAACAUUGGAAAUACAUAGAGUCAACUGAUUUGGAUUUUAUUUCAACGGUGGAUCAGACUGUAGAAAAUCCAAAUGUUUACCCAAACUAUGCAAAUAGAAAGACAGAUAAAAAUGCUGAAAAUCUUAUCCCUGUUAAGCAUAAAAGUGAUAUUCAUUUUUACAAGAAUCAUGAUAGUCACUUCUUAGAUCAACCAAGAAACUUAAUCAAGAAGCAAGAAAAACAUCCUCAUAUUUUGUCAAACAAAGAAGAAGACAAAAAUGUCAUUGGCCAAGAAAAUAUUAAAGAUCUAAAUGAGUGGUUAGGUGUCCAAGAUGUGUUGGAUGAUCCGUCAGAGUCUAUGUGCAAUAAAAAAUGUAUAAUAUUAAAAUCCAAAGCAUCAGAUAAAAGGAAUCAUCUUUUCAACCCUACUGCUGUAGGGCAAAUAGAAAAAAUGUCUGAAUGGGAAGAAAGUAGAUUAAUGGAAGAGAAAGAACAUGUCUACAAAGAGUACCAUUUUUUGCAUAAAAAAUACAACAAUCCAGAAGAAUUUUGGAAGAAAGAGUCUUUGUCUUCAAUGAAUGAGUUAGAUGAUGUGUAUGAUGAAAGAGAAAAAAACGAAAUAUUGAAUUUUCAACUUUUGGAGAGUCAAAGAAUAUCUAGUUCAAAUGAUAUUCCAAGUACAUCUAGUGCCUGUAAGCAUGUUAAGGGUCAACUUUCCGAUUGCAGAAACAAUAUAUUUGUCAAAGAAAAAUUAAAAAGUGCUUCAUAUUAUACUGAUCAAAAUCAAGAAAUGGUCAAUGACCACAAUUUGACUUGUGAUCCCACAAAAAUAAAAGAAUCUGAUGAUUUUAACAAGUAUUUACCUAAGAAAAGAAUGUUCACUAGGCCUAGAGUAUUGCAAUCAGAUGGCAUGUUUGAUGUUAUUAGGCAAGAAGAGUCAGUAGGAUAUUCUCGUGAAAAACAAGAAAGCCACAAAAUGAAAUUGGAAACAGAUCAAUCUGUUAUAUCAAAAUCUGAGUUUGAAAAGAUGGGCCAUCUUUUGGAAAAAUAUGAGGAAGAAGUUGGCAACGUGUUGAAUAUGCUUCAACACAAAAGAAAUGAAAAAGAAGACUUGAGAAUAUAUAAUAUAAAUCAAAUGCAAAAUGACAACACUGUAUGUCAAGAAUACUCAUCCUCGCAAAAUAUUGUGCAAGAUCAUGACGUACAUUGCAUUUCAAUAGAAAAAGCAAAAUUUUUGGAAACAGGUAAAAGCAUUCAACAGAAGUCUGGAUUAUUAAAUGAUACCUGGCCCGGACAUAAGAAAAAAAAAAAUGUAAUUGAUGAAGCUUGUACUCCUUCAACAGGAUAUAUAAUAGAUUCCGGUUUAUCUGAAGAUGUCAUAGAUUUAUCAACACCGCCAAAACAAAUAGUGAACAUAGACACACAAACAACAGACAGUAAUUGGUCCCUUUUACAAAUGGAACCUUUCAAAAUACCCAAAUAUUUUAGCGCCAGAGUUGAUAUUGGAGGUGCUAUUAAUUUACCUUCUGUGAAUUCUCUUUUCAAAACCUCUCAAACUAGUAAUGAUAAGUUAACUUCUUAUGUUACAUUUAAUGCUCGUGUAAAAGGAGAAGAUGUUGUAUUAAAUACCCCUGUUAUAUGUGAUGAUCUAAAUCCUGUAUAUAAUACUGGCUGGAAAGUUGAGCUUCCUUCAGGAAUGCUUUACAAGGCAGAUAAUGAACUCGAAUUUAAUGUAGUGUUGCAAAUAACAGACCAGAAACAAAUUUUAAAAGCAACAGUUGAUUUAACGACCCUGUCUGCUGGUCUUGCUUACAUAGAUGGCUGGUACUUCCUUUUUAAUGGUUCCAGAUCACAAGGACAGCUAAAGGUGAAUGUUACACCUUUAGAGGAUAUUGGAACAUUCAGGGAGGUUUGGACUCAGGAAAUUGUUCGAAAAAAAGAAGAGGCGAGGCACUGCCCAACUAGGUGUGGAGCUUUCAGCAAAGAAUUGUUGAAUGAUCAACACUAUGCUAAAUCAUUACAGGAAAAAAUGGAAGAGCUUGAUAGGUUGACAGAAAAAAUGAAGAAAAAAAUAGAAAAUAUUGAUUCUUGGUCUGAUAGCCCACCUAUAAACCUGCUGAAAGAAGUUAAUGCAGCUGCUAAAAGAUUAUGCACAGAUGACGAACUACCACUGAGAACAAAUAAAGAGAAGAAGAAAACAUGCAAAACAUCCUUGCAUCUGAACUUAAGUCCUGCUUCAUCUAGUAAAUCUGAUAGCACUCCGCUUAGAUCUCCAAUUCCACUCAUUGAUCUGACAAGCAGUCCAGAAUCGGAUGGUACGUUAAACAGCAACACUUGGGAAGAGGUGAGUUUCAUUCUUUCUUCAAUUGUGAAAAGGAUUUUUCAAGCUAACGUAGCUUUACUUGAAUAAUAUUUAAUUAUAUGCACAAAAAUUUGUCAGUAAUAUGGUUCUGAGUAUUGCAGAUUCUGAUGGCAGAGUUAAUUUAAGUGAAAGUAGAAAUUCUCCAAGCAAAAAUGUGAUGCAGGUUGAAACCUUGUUUGAGGCAGUACCAAAAGAUAGCCUUGAAGCAGCAUCUAAUUCUAUUGAAAAGAUUAUCCAAGAUCUAAGGAAAGCAAGAUUAAAUGAAUAACACCAGUGUGAUAUUUGUCUUAUUAUGGAGAUUAAGUAUUUUCAUUUUAAGAAUUUGGUUCAAACUUCUAAAAUCUUGUUUUUACAAGCUAUAUAUAUUUAACUAAUUAUUUUUUGAAAAAAUGCAGUUGAAAAAGGCAGUCCAAUGAAACAUGAUUGUUACAAUAUUAUUUUUUUCCAACAAAAAUAUUCUGUUAAUUGUA
Molecule: RNA transcript, 6519 nt
Organism: Cimex lectularius (bed bug)
Lineage: Eukaryota; Metazoa; Arthropoda; Insecta; Hemiptera; Cimicidae
Exons: 29
Source: RefSeq, a predicted model, not a curated record